Molecule: ribosomal RNA, 412 nt
Filed under: uncultured archaeon
Lineage: Archaea
Description: bacterial SSU rRNA
Rfam family: Archaeal small subunit ribosomal RNA
Source: RNAcentral
GGGCUCCUUCGGGAGCACCGGCGGACUGCUCAGUAACACGUGGACAACCUACCCUCGGGUGGGGGAUAACCUCGGGAAACUGAGGCUAAUACCCCAUAGGCCUCGGAUACUGGAAGGUUCCGAGACCGAAAGCUCCGGCGCCCGAGGAUGGGUCUGCGGCCUAUCAGGUAGUUGGUGGUGUAAAGGACCACCAAGCCUACGACGGGUACGGGCCCUGAGAGGGGGAGCCCGGAGAUGGACUCUGAGACACGAGUCCAGGCCCUACGGGGCGCAGCAGGCGCGAAACCUUCGCAAUGCGCGAAAGCGCGACGAGGGGAGCCCGAGUGCCCUUCCUUUCGGGAGGGCUUUUCUGGAGCCUAAAAAGCUCCAGGAAUAAGGGCUGGGCAAGACGGGUGCCAGCCGCCGCGGUAAU